Molecule: long non-coding RNA, 908 nt
Organism: Gorilla gorilla gorilla (western lowland gorilla)
Lineage: Eukaryota; Metazoa; Chordata; Mammalia; Primates; Hominidae
Exons: 5
Source: RefSeq, a predicted model, not a curated record
UUCUUUUCUUUUUCUUUCUUCUUCUUUUCUUUUCUCUUUUCUUUCUUUCUUUUUUCUUCUUUCUCUCUCUCUGUCUCUCUGUCUCUCUCUCUCUCUCUAUAUAUAUAUGGUGUGUCACUCUGUCGCCUAGGCUGGAGUGCAGUCGCGCAAUCUCGACUCACUGCAAAUGCUGCCUCCCGGGUUCAAGGCCAAGGGGGAGCAGGGCUGUGGAGAGCAUGACCCCCUUGUUAAAUCACGUCUGCCUUUAUGCCUCGAUACACCACACAGAGAGAUGACAGGAGAUACCACCAAGAUGAGAUGCCAACCCGGGAGAGGCUCUGCAGGUCCCCUUGUGCCCACGUCUACCUGGCUUGUCCCCACAGGUGGGUUUUCUGAGACAAGGGGGAUUUUGGACACAGGUCUGUCCCCAGAGCCAGCCAGCAGCUCCAGAGAAGAGACAGCAGGUGCCCAGGACGAUGCGGCUUAGUUGCCAGGUUGCCACGAAACAUCCAAUAUUUGAAAGUGUUCUAUGGACCUCAAAGGGCAAGAGACACCUUAAAAUGUUUGCUGGAUGGCGAGGCUCUGCUGCUCAUGUUCAUGGAGUCCCACGGCCACCAGGCCCUUUGAAUCUCGAGUUUCUGGCUUCAGAUGCCCCCAGGUUUCCAGAAGUCAAGAUUUCUAACAAAUGGACCCAAACCCCAAGCCAGCACCUGGAAGUGGCAGCAACACGGCUGUGUGGACCCCGGUGCUGGGAACCUUCUGGAGGCAGCUGGACACAGGGGCUGCCGGUGCGGAGAGGGACACUGCUCAUUUUGACAUUUCAUCUGAAUAACGUUCCAAGUGUUCUAAUGAAAGCCUCUGUGCUCCCUUUGAAAUACUAGCAAUUACAAAGAUGAAUAAUUGCAUGAUAAAUAUUAAUUUGCACCAUC